AACGAACGCUGGCGGCAUGCCUAACACAUGCAAGUCGAACGAGACCUCCGUGUCUUUUUGCGCACGUGUGCGUACCGCCUGGUAACUUGCCCGUAGGUUCGGAAUAACUCCCCGUAAGGGGUGCUAAUACCGGUUAAUGUCUUCGCACCAAAGAUCUUUCGCCAUUGGGUGGGCCCGCGUUGGAUUGGCCAGUUGGUAGGGUAAAAGCCUACCAAGGCGUGGAUCCAUAGCUGGUCUGAGAGGAUGACCAGCCACAAUGGGACUGAGACACGGACCAGAAUGGGACGGAGGGCAGGAGAGGGGAAUAUUGGGGGAGGGGGGCUAGCGUGAUCAAGCCAUGCCGGGUAAGUGAUGAAGGCCGUAGGGUUGUACAGCUCUUUUACACGGGAUGAGAAUGACAGUACCGGGAGAAUAAGCUCCGGCUAACUACGUG
This 433-nucleotide ribosomal RNA is filed under the name uncultured bacterium. Its description in RNAcentral is "partial 16S ribosomal RNA". It matches the Rfam family "Bacterial small subunit ribosomal RNA", at positions 29 to 507 of the family's 1533-position model. The record is from RNAcentral.